ACAGCGAGACGGGCGGUGGGGCUGAGCCGAGGCCCAGGAACGGAGGUGGAGGAGCAGACCCGGGCGACGCGGCCCGCGAGCGAGAGGGUCGUCCGGGUCAGUCCAGCGCAACUCGGGUCACCAGUCCCAGGGCCCUGGUCCCCUUAUUGGAUCUAUGUCUGGGUUUGCUGAAGCACCCGCUGGGCCCAGGACUGCAGAGACGCCCCUACCCAGGCUGUGCCCCGGGUGGAGGGGGACAGGGGGAAUGGCUUCAUCGCGGGGUUCGGGGCAGGACAGCUCAGGACCUGCGGAGAUACUGGAUGGUGUAGGAUCCCAGGCCAAAGGUGGCGCACCCUGAGAUCAGCAGCCCAGCUCCCUGCAGCCUUGAGGAGGGCGCUGCCUGCGUCUUUGGGAGCCUCAGCUUCCCCUCCGGUUCCGGGCCUUGGAGUGCUGGUCUGCAGCUGCGGCCUGGCUCUGUGCCCGGCCUGACCCUCGUUCACACUGCACACCCCUGGAGGCAGGACAGAAAGUGUGCACAGCGAAGACCCUGACACCCUACUGGUUGAUGAUCCAAAUCCCGAGGUCCCUCUCAGAGUCCGGUGAGAUCCAGAGCCAGCUAGAGGAAGAAAGUGGCCGCGUCAGCUCCCGAAAGGCCGUCUGGGUGAGGUUGAAAGGAAAAGCCAACAGGAGUUCCCAUCGUGGGGCUUCGGAAACAAUCCGACCAGGAACCAUGAGGUUGCGGUUUCCAUCCCUGGCCUGGCUCAGUGGAUUAAGGAUCCGGUGUCUCUGUGGCUAUGGUGUAGGCCGGCAGCCGUAGCUCCCAUUCGACCAGCAGGCUCUCGGGUCCACCUCCUCUCCCCGUGGUCCUGUGCUGCCUCUUCCUACCCUGCUCCUCAGCAGCUCAGUGCAACUCUCCUGUCCCCCGCAUCCUCCCUGGUCGCACGCAGAGAGCAUCUGUGCAAAGACAACAGACGCGGCCACCCAGACCCUUUAGCUCACAGAGGAUGCCCUGAACGGACUCCCAGGGAGCCUACAGAAGACCACGGACUUGAGAAGGCACUGUGAACUGCUUGGUAGCAUCUGCAAGAUGGGGUUUGGUUUCAGGUCUGUGUCCUGCCCGCCACCCUCAGGCCCCGGUGGGCUCAGGAGGGCCUUGGGCACAGCCCGAGGGGCCUCGACCCUCAUACAGUGCAGAGCAAAGUCAGAGAUGUGUGGAGGCAGCUGCUGCUCCGGGUGGGAGCUGAUGACAUCCCGCCUGUCGUGUAGACAUUUGAGUUAACUGGCCCUGGGGUUGCCAAUAAUCUCAGUCAGGUCAAAGCCUCCACUCGGAGACGUUUGGGGCAGAAACCUGCUGAUUUACCCCUUGUUUUAACUCUUGGGGAACAAGGGGAUUGCUGACCGCUCCCACUGGCAGGGAGCAGGGAGUGGAAAGAGAACAGCCCUCGAGGGAGAGGCCAAGGAGCCCGUCUGCUCUGGCUCUGCACCGUCCAGCACAGUGGCCUCAGCCUGUCCCAACUGCGAUGUGCGAAUGUGCACAAGAAACACCUGAUUUCAAAGACGUUGAAAAAAAUGCCAAAUAUCUUUCUAAUAAUUUUAUAUUGAUUGCCUCUGGAAAUUAUGUUUUAGAUGUGUUAAGGUAAAUAAAAUAUAUUAUUAAAUUU
Molecule: long non-coding RNA, 1640 nt
Filed under: Sus scrofa (pig)
Lineage: Eukaryota; Metazoa; Chordata; Mammalia; Artiodactyla; Suidae
Description: lncRNA (ENSSSCG00025050962.1)
Source: RNAcentral